RNAcentral lists this unclassified non-coding RNA (504 nucleotides) under uncultured Glomus. Its description in RNAcentral is "SSU rRNA". It matches the Rfam family "Eukaryotic small subunit ribosomal RNA", at positions 569 to 1076 of the family's 1831-position model. Lineage: Eukaryota; Fungi; Glomeromycota; Glomeromycetes; Glomerales; Glomeraceae. The record is from RNAcentral.
AGCAGCCGCGGUAAUUCCAGCUCCAAUAGCGUAUAUUAAAGUUGUUGCAGUUAAAAAGCUCGUAGUUGAAUUUCGGGAUCAAAGGAUCGGUCAUGCCUUGGUAUGUACUGGUUUUAUUGGUUCUCACCUUCUAAAGAACCAUAAUGUCAUUCAUUUGAUGUUAUGGGGAAUUAGGACUGUUACCUUGAAAAAUUAGAGUGUUUAAAGCAGGCUUACGCUUGAAUACAUUAGCAUGGAAUAAUGAAAUAGGACAUCAGAUUCUAUUUUGUUGGUUUCUAGGAUCGAUGUAAUGAUUAAUAGGGAUAGUUGGGGGCAUUAGUAUUCAAUUGUCAGAGGUGAAAUUCUUGGAUUUAUUGAAGACUGACUACUGCGAAAGCAUUUGCCAAGGAUGUUUUCAUUAAUCAAGAACGAAAGUUAGGGGAUCGAAGACGAUCAGAUACCGUCGUAGUCUUAACCAUAAACUAUGCCGACUAGGGAUCGGAUGAUGUUAAUUUUAUAAUGACU